This 124-nucleotide small RNA is filed under the name Salmonella enterica. RNAcentral's name for it is "partial RtT sRNA". It matches the Rfam family "RtT RNA". Rfam says of the family: This family represents a bacterial cis-regulatory element known as RtT RNA. RNAcentral also lists the same sequence under 1 other name. Lineage: Bacteria; Pseudomonadati; Pseudomonadota; Gammaproteobacteria; Enterobacterales; Enterobacteriaceae. The record is from RNAcentral.
UUGCUAUCUGCGAUAUGGAAGAUUCGAACCUGCCGCAGGUUCGGGUCGAACGCAGUGAGACAACGGAGCCGUUUACGGCGACGGCCCGAAGGGCGAGCGAAGCGAGUCAUCCUGCACGACCCAC